GAAAUCAUACUAUACAGAAUCAUUUCUGUAGUGUGUAUUUCGCGAUCCCAACCAAAAAGCGACACCUGUCCGCCGCGAUGAACGGGAGAGGGGCGAGCUGCGAGCGGGAAGAACGCGGCUUGCCGCGCUGAGGACCGCGACGCGACCGAAAGGACGCGUCAGCGACUCGCUCUUCUGAGCGGU
Molecule: non-coding RNA, 183 nt
Organism: Oesophagostomum dentatum (nodular worm)
Lineage: Eukaryota; Metazoa; Nematoda; Chromadorea; Rhabditida; Strongylidae
Source: Rfam